GGAAAGAAGGCAAUGGCGGCGUCCUCGGGAAGGGGGCUGGUCCGCACGGGAAACAGCUUUGGAGGUGGAGCAACCCCAUUACGCUAAAGAUGAAAGGCUGGGGUUGGCUGGCCCUGCUUCUGGGGGCCCUGCUGGGAACUGCCUGGGCUCGGAGGAGCCAGGAUCUACAUUGUGGAGCUUGCAGGGCUCUGGUGGAUGAACUAGAGUGGGAAAUUGCCCAGGUGGAUCCCAAGAAGACCAUUCAGAUGGGCUCUUUCCGAAUCAAUCCAGAUGGCAGCCAGUCAGUGGUGGAGGUGCCUUAUGCUCGCUCAGAGGCCCAUCUCACAGAGCUGCUAGAGGAGGUAUGUGACCGGAUGAAGGAGUACGGGGAACAGAUUGACCCUUCCACCCACCGCAAGAACUACGUACGUGUAGUGGGCCGGAACGGAGAAUCCAGCGAACUGGACCUACAGGGCAUCCGAAUUGAUUCAGACAUCAGUGGCACGCUCAAGUUUGCGUGUGAGAGCAUUGUGGAGGAAUAUGAGGAUGAACUCAUUGAAUUCUUUUCCCGAGAGGCUGACAAUGUUAAAGACAAACUUUGUAGUAAGCGAACAGCUCUCAGAAUCUGUGACUCCCUCACUUGAGAUACAGAUCUAUGUGACCAUGCCCUGCACAUAUCGCAUGAUGAGCUAUGAACCACUGGAGCGGCUCAGACUGACAGGCUUGAUGGAUCACCCCCAGGAGGGGAAGAGGGUGGCAAUGCCUUUUAUAUUAUGUUUUUAUUGAAAUGAACUGAAAAAUUGUGAAACCAAAAGUAUGAACUGUGUUGUCUUUUCAUAUCCAGAAUCGACUCUUACAUUAGGCUUGAAGAUAGGGGAUUCCAGACAGGAAAGACAAGGGAAGGAAGUGCUUUGGAAAUGGUGUAGCAUUUAUUCAGCAUUUGGUCAGUACCUACUCAAUACCAUGUGUUUAGAGUCUAAUUGUGGAGAGAAGAGGAACCUCUGUGAAUAAGCAAGGGAACAUAGAUGGAGGGAUCAGCAAUAGCAGACAGGAAGGGGAAAUGGAUGUGAUCAACUCAUCAGAAAAGUAAGGGCUUUAUAAGAUAGGGAGAGAUGAGGUAAGGAAUGUUAUUUAAUGAAGGCCCUUGCUUGCUGGCCUAAACUUUUAGAUUUGAACCUGCAGCACUAAAGUAUACCUUUCUCAUCUUCAUCUGUCUGUCUGGAUUGUAAGUCUGUCUCCACUUUCUGUGUGUAGAAAUUCGUACUGGGGCAAGGGAUGGAAACCUAAAGGAUCCUUCUUUGAGGAGCUUCUCAAACACCUUGAUCCAGAGGAAUGUCUGUCUCAGGGUUUGGAAUGGAACAUUUCUAUCCCAGGAGUACCUCAGGGAAAGAAUACCUGAAUAAACAUUUUGAAGACUUUUUAAAUUAAGCAUUUUAGAAUCUAAAGGGAAGUUGGAGGUCAUACAGUUCACCUCUGCCCAUUUUACAGAUGAAGAAACUGAGCCCUAGAGAUACGACAGGUUCUGGACCAAUAAACUCAUGUUCCCAAGUGUCAAUCUGAUCUAAUAUAGCUGUAAAGUAGCUUCUGUUUUAAGUCUUUUUUCUCCUAAUACCCUGUACUAAGCCUGGCACACAAAGUGAAUGUGUUCAACAAGUCUUUCUUGUCACAAAUCCUGAGAAAUCUAACACAUGAACUAGUUCAGAGCAAAUAUCCUGAUAUUAGUUGACAACUCAGGCUCUAGUGUUAAUUCCUUCUUCUCUCAUCAGCCAUAAGAAAUGCAGUAUCCUGUCAAGGCUGUUUUCCAGACCAGCUGUUACUAUUUUUUCUUCUGUGAUGCACAUGAAUAAGGUUCACAUUCUUCAUACCCCUGUGAGUAUACCCAGGAUUGUGUCCAUUGACUGCUUCCUGUCUAAAAACUUACUCUUCCAUCAGAAAGUUUAUCAGAAGUGUGAAAGGAUUUACAGGGAACUCGAAAUUGUUUUAAUGUACAGAAAAGCAAAUAAGUCACAAGCUUUAAUAAAAUAAUGUUAGUUGGUAAUAAA
This is an RNA transcript of Suricata suricatta (meerkat), 2021 nucleotides long. It is a transcript of the gene named canopy FGF signaling regulator 2, with no coding region annotated. Lineage: Eukaryota; Metazoa; Chordata; Mammalia; Carnivora; Herpestidae. The transcript has 8 exons. The record is from RefSeq and is a predicted model, not a curated record.